RNAcentral lists this ribosomal RNA (404 nucleotides) under uncultured bacterium. Its description in RNAcentral is "bacterial SSU rRNA". It matches the Rfam family "Bacterial small subunit ribosomal RNA", at positions 917 to 1322 of the family's 1533-position model. The record is from RNAcentral.
GGGCCCGCACAAGCAGUGGAGCAUGUGGUUUAAUUCGAUGCAACGCGAAGAACCUUACCAGGCCUUGACAUCCUCGGAACUUUCUAGAGAUGAGAAUGUGCCUUCGGGAACGCUAUGACAGGUGUUGCAUGGCUGUCGUCAGCUCGUGUCGUGAGAUGUAUGGUUAAGUCCAGUAACGAGCGCAACCCCUAUCCUUAUUUGCCAGCGCGUUAAGGCGGGAACUAUAGGGAGACUGCCGGGUGAAACCCGGAGGAAGGCGGGGACGAGGUCAAGUCAUCAUGGCCCUUAUGGGUUGGGCUACACACGUGCUACAAUGGGAAGUACAGAGGGAUGCGAAAGCGCGAGCUGGAGCCAAACCUUAAAACUUUCUUAAUCCGGAUUGGAGUCUGCAACUCGACUCCAUG